UUUGCUUCACCGCUUUAUGAUCCAAUAAGAUUAGGAUUUGUGUACCCGCUUUUCGUCAACCAGGUUAAAUUUAGAUGUUACACCGCUUCAAAUCCAAUCUUCUCCACUGUCUCUAGACUCUUCCUUAGACCGCCAUCCAAAAAGAAUUAGUCAUCCACCGUCUUCUUCAAAGAACUCUGAAUUUAUGCCCUAAAUUGAUGGUGCAGGUGUCCUUCUACGUUUCCUCCACCGCCUCAAAAGCUUAAUACGUUUUUUCCCACGCACCGAUGAUCCAUCAUAGAUAUUUCUUCUCUUUUCCACUGAUAUACCCAAUAAUUUUCCCCACUGCCUCUGCUCAUCAUCUAUUUCAAUGGAUCCACUCACGGAUUUCCGUUUAGCUUCCCACCACUUUGUCUUCGUUCCCGAUAACCUCCACAAAACCUCUUUUCACCGGGAAAGGUUUCCCAUCUUCUCUACCGUCAUACUGCAUCUACUGUACCCCUGCACAUCUUCAUGUCGAUCGCCUCCGCGUAUGGUCUCCAGACGAUGCUAUCGAUGACACCUCCGCCUCAGUCUUCUAUCACGAUGUUAACGCCUGCCAAUUCAGUGUCUGAAGCAGGAGUCGUUAUCUGCGUUUCAGAAAAGAGGGGGACAGAUUAGGACUUUUGUGCCUGAAUCAGUUAAUUGAAGAUAGAAGCAGGUAUUUUUUUUCAUUUCAUUCGACUUUUAUUUACAUCAAACACAUAUUUUGGGAUCUAAUCUGUCAAUUUCUUUUGAUGCAAACAUAAUUUGAUAUUAUCGACUUAGUAUAGGACUAGGUAGUGGAGAAUCGAGGUUAAAGAGAUCAACCAUUCGUUGAUUUUAAGGUUUAUUGAAGGGUUAGUUUCGGUUUUUCCAAAAGUUGAAGGCUUAGAAGAUGUAAUACUAUUUCUGCACCCCCAUCCAAUUGUACCAUUUUUUAAUAUUCUCAAAAGUGAUGGGAUAUUGUGUUUUUUUUAAAAAAAAUAAUAAUUGUUCUUUGGGUGAUAAUUCUCAGUUAAAAGAGGAUAAACAACUUGCAAGAGCAUUACUUAGCUGGCUAAUUUCGCGAACAAGUUUUUUACUGUUUGGUGUUUCAGUGUCUUCAUAGUAUAUGUUGUUUCCGUUUUGAUUUCUUUGUAAUCAGCCAAUCUAGAUUCUUAUGAGGACAAUUGGCUCUGCAAUUCUAUGAAUUGUCAGUAAUUCAAAUGAUUAAAAUUUCAUUUUUUUCCUCUUUGCAAAUCGGCUACCUAAAAUCUUAGGUCAUAACAUAUGUAAGUUGACUUGGAAGAAUCGAUCUUGGUUAUGAAAUGAUUAAAAUUAUGCAUUUGUUACUGUCCCCUUUUACUGUAUUGUGAUAUAUCUGAGUGUAGAGGUAGAUUGGUCUUUCAAAAAAUUGAAAUAUGAAAACAAAAAAUUGUACACAAGGGUAGUUUAGUCUCAAACUGUUAAUGAUAAAAAAAUAUGUAUUUUUUAGUGUUAAAAUCCUUCAAUUUCAAUAAAAAAAACUUUGCAUUCAAUUUGAGCAUAGAAAAAGUGCAUACACCAUCCCAUUUUACUGUAUUGUGGCAUAUUUGAGUGCAGGGGCAAAUUGGUCUUUCAACAAAAUUGAAAUAUGAACAAAAAAACAUUUCAUAAGGGUUGUUGAUUUACAGAUUCUCUUAAAUUAAUCUGAUUUUAAAGAUCCUGAUGUCAAGAACAUGCAACGUCAUAGUUACAAAAGGCUUGGUAGCUUUUGCAAGUGCAGGUUUAGCUUUUCCCUUUUACAUGGCGUAAUUACAUUGGUUUUCAGUUUAUUAAUGAUUUUAUUUAGUCUUUCUUGAAACAUUAUAUAUUAAAUUAUAUGUUAAUUGUUGAACAUAGGACUAGGUGAUCAUUAAAGUCCCAAAUUAUUCAUUCAUAAAAACCAUUGCCACCUUAGGCAUCUUUAAACUCCCCUAUAAUUGAUUUAUCAUGAAAGUCUCCUCUAAUCGAUUUAUCAAAACCAUCUUGAAAGUUUGACAUGGUGGCUGAUGUAUUUAAAAGUUGUUGAAUGUUGUGAAGGUUCUUUUUGUUUUCUCAUAUAAAUCAUUGGCAAAUAUUUACUGUAUUAUUUACCCUUUUCUUCCCUAUUGAAGCUUCCUUUAUAAUUGUAAGCCAUUUAUAAAGUGCCUACCUUAGUAUUGCUUUCUUUCCUUAUCAGUUCGCUUUUUCCAUCUUAUCUUUACUUCAUACUACCAUCACCACAUGGACACUGUCAAAUAAUGGGUGAUUUACAUUGGAGUAUGUAUAUUCAUGGGCACAACAUGAGACAUUCUCUGGGUUACAACCAUUUAUUCAAGAAUCUACCGCGUAGGCAGAUAAAGAAACUCUUCGACCACAGUUUCACUAGAACUGGCUUGAAACGAACUCAAAAGGUUAAGAAAUCUUUUGUAAAAGUUGGUUACCAAAGGAUGGAGUCAGAAUCAAAGCUGGUGUGUGUUUUGUUCAUGGGCAUGGUGACACUUGAACCUUUUUGUUUGAAGACAUUCUAGGUUUGAAGGUGUUGGAAAUUUUACCCUGUUCCCGAUGAUCAUCGGUGAAACACCUAGAAUACAAUACAUUUGGGAUAAAAGAUUUUGUGAUUUUUGUAGGUAUUGGGAGAAACCGGGAGUAGAGGAUCAUCAACACCAUCGACGGUAGAUGCUAUCAAGAACUGGCAAAAAUCUAUCCCAAAAAACUCAUCAGAAACAUGUAACAAUCCGUCCUCUACAGAUUCUGCUUUUGAAUGCCUUAAUUUCUUAAGCAAAUGGUUGUACUGCAGUCAGAUUCAUGCAAAACUGUUGUUGACAGCUGCAACAUGCAUAAAUCAGAGAAGGUCAUUGUCGUCCUUUUCGUAUGUAUUAUAUAAAACUAUAGAUUAAAUGAAAUAAAUGGAAACGUAGUUUUAUUUA
Non-coding RNA from Lactuca sativa (garden lettuce), 2909 nucleotides. The record is from RefSeq and is a predicted model, not a curated record. Lineage: Eukaryota; Viridiplantae; Streptophyta; Magnoliopsida; Asterales; Asteraceae.